RNAcentral lists this ribosomal RNA (464 nucleotides) under uncultured bacterium. Its description in RNAcentral is "partial 16S ribosomal RNA". It matches the Rfam family "Bacterial small subunit ribosomal RNA", at positions 28 to 506 of the family's 1533-position model. The record is from RNAcentral.
GACGAACGCUGGCGGCGUGCUUAACACAUGCAAGUCGAACGCUGAACCCGCUUCGGUGGGGGAUGAGUGGCGAACGGGUGAGUAACACGUGGGCAACCUGCCCCCGGCUCUGGGAUAACUCCAAGAAAUUGGGGCUAAUACCGGAUGUGACCGCUGGCCGCAUGGUCUGGUGGUGGAAAGGGUUUCCGGCUGGGGAUGGGCCCGCGGCCUAUCAGCUUGUUGGUGGGGUAGUGGCCUACCAAGGCGACGACGGGUAGCCGGCCUGAGAGGGUGACCGGCCACAAUGGGACUGAGACACGGCCCAGACUCCUACGGGAGGCAGCAGUGGGGAAUAUUGCGCAAUGGGCGGAAGCCUGACGCAGCGACGCCGCGUGGGGGAUGACGGCCUUCGGGUUGUAAACCUCUUUCAGCAGGGACGAAGCGCAAGUGACGGUACCUGCAGAAGAAGCACCGGCCAACUACGU